This 327-nucleotide ribosomal RNA is filed under the name Triticum aestivum (bread wheat). Its description in RNAcentral is "partial small subunit ribosomal RNA". Lineage: Eukaryota; Viridiplantae; Streptophyta; Magnoliopsida; Poales; Poaceae. The record is from RNAcentral.
AUUAAAAUCCCAGCAAAAAUCAAGAUGUUCCUUUGGCUUAUUGCUAGAAAAAGUGUACUGACCAAAGAUAAUCUAGUUAAGAAAAGGUGGAAAGGGAGUAAGAAAUGUGUGUAUUGUGGUCAAGUUGAGACCAUAGAUCACCUGUUCUUCUCUUGCUCUGCUGCUAGAUUACUAUGGAGUUUCAUAAAAUGCUCCUUCAAUUUACAAACAGCUCCAAUUGGAGUUGAUGAUUGUCUGGGUCCCUGGAUAAAGAAAUUCAAUCUAGAAGAAAGAAAACUGGUGCUGGUCGGACUUUCUGCUAUUUUGUGGGCUAUUUGGAAAUGUUGA